This 430-nucleotide unclassified non-coding RNA is filed under the name Hevea brasiliensis (rubber tree). Lineage: Eukaryota; Viridiplantae; Streptophyta; Magnoliopsida; Malpighiales; Euphorbiaceae. The record is from RNAcentral.
GAAGAAUAUACUAAAGGGUAAAUCUUUUUAACUGAAUUGUUAUUAUUCCGAGUUGGUGGGAGAGCCGGUUGUAGAGAAUUCAAGGUAGAGGAGAAGGAGGUGAGCAGUGAAGAAGACAAACGAAGUGAGUGAAAAGACGUUGAUUGAAAAACAUCAGCCAUUUAGAAAUUGAUUGAAAGAAGAGGGCAAAAAAAUAUUUCUCAAAUUGCAGACUAGCAGAAGAAAUUGAACUACACGAGGUCAAAAGCACAGAAGAAAAGCCAUAGAUGGAGGAAGAGGAAGUGAGGUCAGAUGGAGUUGUCCUGGGUGCGUGAUUAAGAGAAGUCUCUGGCUGCCUCCUCUCCUUCCCGUGUUUCUGUGAACCAGAUCGUACGCAGAAGAUACUUCCACACUUGUAUAUCUGUUGGUUUCGGCGGCUGUUGCGGCAUUG